RNAcentral lists this ribosomal RNA (368 nucleotides) under uncultured organism. RNAcentral's name for it is "bacterial SSU rRNA". It matches the Rfam family "Bacterial small subunit ribosomal RNA", at positions 526 to 896 of the family's 1533-position model. The record is from RNAcentral.
CGUAGGUGGCAAGCGUUGUCCGGAUUUAUUGGGUUUAAAGGGUGCGUAGGCGGCCCUGUAAGUCAGUGGUGAAAUACGGCAGCUCAACUGUCGAGGUGCCAUUGAUACUGCGGGGCUUGAGUGUUGAUGAGGUAGGCGGAAUUGACGGUGUAGCGGUGAAAUGCUUAGAUAUCGUCAAGAACACCGAUAGCGAAGGCAGCUUACCAAGCAAUAACUGACGCUGAGGCACGAAAGUGCGGGGAUCAAACAGGAUUAGAUACCCUGGUAGUCCGCACAGUAAACGAUGAUUACUCGAUGUUGGCGAUACACAGCCAGCGUCUUAGCGAAAGCGAUAAGUAGUCCACCUGGGGAGUACGCCCGCAAGGGUG